AGGGAGGAGGUGGCUUGUGGUACCGGGACUGGCGGUUACUUCAUGAGUUGUGGACUGGGAGAACAGUGAUUGGAACUCAUCAGCGGCUAUGUCUCUGAGGGCUGAUUUCCGAGCAGCUGAGGAAUAACCGUUACUUCUGUACUUUACCUGGAAUGUGCCAAGAUGUAGGUGGGGAAACUGGCGGAGAUCAAGGCUUACGGCACUCUGACAAUUACAAAGUAUAAAAGAGAACCUUAAUGAAUGAAAACAAUGUAUUAAAAAAGGUAACAAAAACCUAAGUAGAAAAACAUAUGGCGUGGGAAUAAUGCUAACAGUACACAAGUCAUCUGCAUGCAAACGGACAGGCUACAUAACCAUGCACAAAAAAAAUCACCUUACAUUCUUACAGCGCCAUCUUGUGGCCAGCACUAACAUGUAACUACAGCAAGACAAACACACAUGGUAAUGUUAACAAAAGCAUCAUUACACUCCCAACAAAUGGUGAAAGCAAAGAAUAAAUCAAUUUAGUGAAAGGAAAAUAAACUCCCAAG
This is a long non-coding RNA of Pseudophryne corroboree (corroboree frog), 530 nucleotides long. RefSeq lists it as uncharacterized. The transcript has 3 exons. The record is from RefSeq and is a predicted model, not a curated record. NCBI's taxonomy places the organism in Eukaryota, Metazoa, Chordata, Amphibia, Anura, Myobatrachidae.